This 253-nucleotide ribosomal RNA is filed under the name uncultured bacterium. RNAcentral describes it as "partial 16S ribosomal RNA". It matches the Rfam family "Bacterial small subunit ribosomal RNA", at positions 524 to 776 of the family's 1533-position model. The record is from RNAcentral.
GACGUGAGAGGCAAGCGUUACUCGUCAUUAAUGGGUCUAAAGGGUCCGUAGGCGGUUUAAUAAGUCAGUGGUGAAAUCUGGUCGCUCAACGAUCAAACGGCCAUUGAUACUGUUAGACUUGAAUUAUUGGGAAGUAACUAGAAUAUGUAGUGUAGCGGUGAAAUGCUUAGAUAUUACAUGGAAUACCAAUUGCGAAGGCAGGUUACUACCAAUACAUUGACGCUGAUGGACGAAAGCGUGGGGAGCGAACAGG